This 259-nucleotide ribosomal RNA is filed under the name uncultured bacterium. RNAcentral describes it as "partial 16S ribosomal RNA". It matches the Rfam family "Bacterial small subunit ribosomal RNA", at positions 28 to 290 of the family's 1533-position model. The record is from RNAcentral.
GACGAACGCUGGCGGCGUGCUUAACACAUGCAAGUCGAACGGUAAGGCCUUUCGGGGUACGACGAGUGGCGAACGGGUGAGUAACACGUGGGUAAUCUGCCCUGCACUUCGGGAUAAGCUUGGGAAACUGGGUCUAAUACCGGAUAGGAGCUUUCACCGCAUGGUGGGGGUUGGAAAGUUUUUCGGUUGCAGGAUGUGCCCGCGGCCUAUCAGCUUGUUGGUGGGGUAAUGGCUUACCAAGGCGACGACGGGUAGCCGG